This 938-nucleotide ribosomal RNA is filed under the name Aureobasidium sp. Its description in RNAcentral is "partial large subunit ribosomal RNA". It matches the Rfam family "Eukaryotic large subunit ribosomal RNA", at positions 35 to 982 of the family's 3401-position model. Lineage: Eukaryota; Fungi; Ascomycota; Dothideomycetes; Dothideales; Saccotheciaceae. The record is from RNAcentral.
AAAAAAUUAUAUUCAUAGCGGAGGAANNNAAGAAACCAACAGGGAUUGCCCUAGUAACGGCGAGUGAAGCGGCAACAGCUCAAAUUUGAAAGCUAGCCUUCGGGUUCGCAUUGUAAUUUGUAGAGGAUGCUUUGGGUAAAACGCCAGUCUAAGUUCCUUGGAACAGGACGUCAUAGAGGGUGAGAAUCCCGUAUGUGACUGGAAAUGUUAACCUAUGUAAAGCUCCUUCGACGAGUCGAGUUGUUUGGGAAUGCAGCUCUAAAUGGGAGGUAAAUUUCUUCUAAAGCUAAAUAUUGGCGAGAGACCGAUAGCGCACAAGUAGAGUGAUCGAAAGAUGAAAAGCACUUUGGAAAGAGAGUUAAAAAGCACGUGAAAUUGUUGAAAGGGAAGCGCUUGCAAUCAGACUUGUUUAAACUGUUCGGCCGGUCUUCUGACCGGUUUACUCAGUUUGGACAGGCCAGCAUCAGUUUCGGCGGCCGGAUAAAGGCUCUGGGAAUGUGGCCUCCACUUCGGUGGAGGUGUUAUAGCCCAGUGUGUAAUACGGCCAGCCGGGACUGAGGUCCGCGCUUCGGCUAGGAUGCUGGCGUAAUGGUUGUAAGCGACCCGUCUUGAAACACGGACCAAGGAGUCUAACAUCUAUGCGAGUGUUCGGGUGUCAAACCCCUGCGCGUAAUGAAAGUGAACGGAGGUGGGAACCGCAAGGUGCACCAUCGACCGAUCCUGAUGUCUUCGGAUGGAUUUGAGUAAGAGCAUAGCUGUUGGGACCCGAAAGAUGGUGAACUAUGCCUGAAUAGGGUGAAGCCAGAGGAAACUCUGGUGGAGGCUCGCAGCGGUUCUGACGUGCAAAUCGAUCGUCAAAUUUGGGUAUAGGGGCGAAAGACUAAUCGAACCAUCUAGUAGCUGGUCUCGAAAAUUUUCCCCCCCCCAAAAAGAAAGGC